Molecule: ribosomal RNA, 750 nt
Filed under: Bifidobacterium pseudolongum subsp. pseudolongum
Lineage: Bacteria; Bacillati; Actinomycetota; Actinomycetes; Bifidobacteriales; Bifidobacteriaceae
Description: bacterial SSU rRNA
Rfam family: Bacterial small subunit ribosomal RNA
Source: RNAcentral
AGAGUUUGAUCCUGGCUCAGGAUGAACGCUGGCGGCGUGCUUAACACAUGCAAGUCGAACGGGAUCCCUGGCAGCUUGCUGCCGGGGUGAGAGUGGCGAACGGGUGAGUAAUGCGUGACCGACCUGCCCCAUGCACCGGAAUAGCUCCUGGAAACGGGUGGUAAUGCCGGAUGUUCCACAUGAGCGCAUGCGAGUGUGGGAAAGGCUUUUGCGGCAUGGGAUGGGGUCGCGUCCUAUCAGCUUGUUGGUGGGGUAACGGCCUACCAAGGCGUUGACGGGUAGCCGGCCUGAGAGGGCGACCGGCCACAUUGGGACUGAGAUACGGCCCAGACUCCUACGGGAGGCAGCAGUGGGGAAUAUUGCACAAUGGGCGCAAGCCUGAUGCAGCGACGCCGCGUGCGGGAUGGAGGCCUUCGGGUUGUAAACCGCUUUUGUUCAAGGGCAAGGCACGGUUUCGGCCGUGUUGAGUGGAUUGUUCGAAUAAGCACCGGCUAACUACGUGCCAGCAGCCGCGGUAAUACGUAGGGUGCAAGCGUUAUCCGGAUUUAUUGGGCGUAAAGGGCUCGUAGGCGGUUCGUCGCGUCCGGUGUGAAAGUCCAUCGCUUAACGGUGGAUCCGCGCCGGGUACGGGCGGGCUUGAGUGCGGUAGGGGAGACUGGAAUUCCCGGUGUAACGGUGGAAUGUGUAGAUAUCGGGAAGAACACCAAUGGCGAAGGCAGGUCUCUGGGCCGUUACUGACGCUGAGGAGCG